CGCUAGGGGAGCCUUGGGCUGAGAUUGACUUGUGUCUGACCCUCACUACUUGAACCGGAUAAUACCGGCGUAAGGAAGCUGAUUUUUA
Molecule: non-coding RNA, 88 nt
Filed under: uncultured Enterocloster sp.
Lineage: Bacteria; Bacillati; Bacillota; Clostridia; Lachnospirales; Lachnospiraceae
Description: TPP riboswitch (THI element)
Rfam family: TPP riboswitch aptamer (THI element) (bases 2-79)
About the family: Vitamin B(1) in its active form thiamin pyrophosphate (TPP) is an essential coenzyme that is synthesised by coupling of pyrimidine and thiazole moieties in bacteria.
Source: RNAcentral